This 89-nucleotide unclassified non-coding RNA is filed under the name Pseudomonas antarctica. Lineage: Bacteria; Pseudomonadati; Pseudomonadota; Gammaproteobacteria; Pseudomonadales; Pseudomonadaceae. The record is from RNAcentral.
GGUGGGAGCUGGCUUGCCUGCGAUGACGGUGUCACAUCCAACACGGAUGUGACGGAUACACCGCUAUCGCAGGCAAGCCAGCUCCCACA